AAAAACUAAUUAACAACCUAGUAGGUGAUUACUAGUUUGUCUAUUAGUACUAGGAUCAAGAAAAUUGAAACUAAAGAAACAAGAAAUGAAACUUAGAAAUUUGAAAUUUUGAGCCUAAGAGUUUUUUUUAGGGUGAUGACGUGGAAACCUCUUAUUGGACAUUAAAAUUAUUGAAAAUUUGAGAAAUUUUCUUGUCUUCAAAUUGUAUUGAUCAAAUUUCAAGUGGGGAAUGGUGGAAUAUCGGCUAUAGUAGGGUAACAACAAGACUUUGGAGCCCUUUUUUUCAAGUUAAAAAAAGUGUUUGACUUUUUUACACCUUUUUGGCUAAACACCUUUUUGAAAGACUUUUGACUCUUUCCCUUUUUGUAAGUCUUGGUGGUGAACUUUCUCCCUUUUGGCAAGACAAUUUUUGAAACCCUUUUGUCCCCUUUCUUCUUUGGAUGUCUUAGAGUUGUGUCUUUCAAUACUAAAAAUAAGACACACUCUCUUUCUUUAAUUUCUAUGAUCAAACAAUCAUUUUCUCUUUAACAAAAUAUGAAGAUGGUGAAGAACACCAAGAACACAACUUUUGAAUCUUGGAGUUCUAUGGUUCAAGUUGGAUCCUACACAUCAAUAACACAUUUUUCAAUCUACAAACCUCAACAAAAACAUCAACAAUAUGUUUUUAAGCCACAAUCUCAACAACAAACUUCAACAACACUCUUUCAAGCCACCAAUCCUCAAAAAACAACAACCUUCAAAGUUCAAAAAUAACUCAAAAAUGACUCAAAAUUUAGAUCUAGACUCUAUAAGUGUUAGUGAAGAAGGGACUAACACUAAAAACAACAAAACACACUAAAAAUACAAGAAAAAUAUGCUUCAAAUCGGCCUAAACACAAAAAACGUGGACAAAUUACGAUUUUUGAGUUUUUCAGUUUUUCAGCACCCUUUUUUUGUGAUUUUUCAAGUGAGCUAUCCUAAGAUUUGAUCUUUUAGGAACAAGAUCAAGCUAUGCUCUGAUAUCAAAUGGUAUCUACAACACAAAAAUAGUCUUCAAACAACCCAUAAUCAUAAGCCUUUACCCUCAACAACAAGACAACAACACGAUACGAGAAGCAAACAUAAACUUAAAAAGAGUAAAAGAUAGCUAACUUGACACAAAGAGAACCCAUUAGGUAGCAACUUAAGAGUGUAUCAAAAAUCUAAAACCUCUACAAAACAAGUUAACAAGUACCAAGUUCUUAUGGUGACCGCCAAGGUAAUCAACUCACCUCAAGAUCCACCCUUUCCAAGCAAAGAACAAUAUUAUCUUUUCUAAGACCUACACUAAUGGCUUAUCCAAGCCCUAAACUAAGGGUGUUACACUCUCAAAGAGAGAAUAAGUCUUUCACAUAUUUAUCCUUCCAAAACUAAAGAGCAAAUGACUUAAUAGAAGACUAUAUAGAGGCUAGCUUAUUACAUAACAGAAAUGACCACAAUACCCUUAAUGAAAGGGGUAGCCAUGAAGUAUCUUUCUAACAAAGUGUGAUCCCCAAAAUACCCUUAAUGAAGGGUUCUUCAAUGCUCCACAACCGUGGGGUCAUUCUUCAACACUUGUAGUCUUGGGUUGGCAUCAAAUGUAAGCCCCUACGUAAUCUUCCACACACGAUUUUGCCUUAUGUCAUGCUCAAAACGGGUCCUCCAUGCAUGUUCUUAUUUCAUCGAGGUGAACAAGUCUUGAGUCUUUAUGCGUUGGCAUCCAAUGAUGUCUUCAAAAGCAUAGAUGGUCAUUUGGCUCAUAUCACUUAUGCCAAAGAUAAACCUAUGGUGGUAACGUUGGUAUGGGGCAUGUGACUUCGAACUCAUACCCAACUCAGUACUAAAUAAUCCAUCCCAAAACAUAAUAGCUUCUCAUAUUAUACUAGUUAAAAUACAUUAUACAAUUAUAUUAAUCUCUACAAUACCAUAUAAAGAAAUUAUUUUUCUCGCAAGACUUGGCUCUAAAUUAUUUUAACUUGCAUUCUUUUUUCAAGAAACCAUAACUUUACACUAUUCAAGUCAAGGUAUGACAUACAUAUAUAUAUAUAUAUAUGUAUGUCUCUAUAUGUAUAUAUACAGACACACACAUAGGGCUUUUCGAAGAUUGUUCAUAAAUUGCUUACCUUUGAGUAUACUUAAUAACAAAACCACAGUUAAACCCAAUGGGAACAUGAAAGCAAUUUUUAAAACAAACCCCAAGUCAUAAACUUCAUGUGAAACUAACCUUUGGCUAAGAAAAUUAACUAUACAUUCAAGAAUUACUUUAAUUUGGAAAAUAAUUCAUAAUACUUAAAGCAUAUAAAAGAAAAUAAUAACAAAACUCAAGAACGAUACAUAGAAUAUUUAAAUCUUCAAAACCCUAACUUGAAAUCAUGAAUUAGAAUGGAACUAUGACACACCUGUGAGGUUGAACAGGGUCUCCCAUGAAUGUUAUUUUUCUUGCGUACCUUACAGAUGAACAAAGUGAAAGAAAUCUUAGGAUUUCAAGCCCUAGCUUUAUUUCUCUUACAACUUGAAGGUUAGGAGCUUGAGGGAAUGGGAGAGGGUUUUGAUUUGAAAGUGUGAGGGUUUUUGAAAUUUUGAGGCAUGUUUAAUAUUGGAUGGACAAUAUCUAAAAUUGAGAAGACAAUCAUAUCCCUAAAACAAAAUGAAAUUGAAGAAGUUAAAAUUCGAGGAAGGGGGUCCAUGGCACGGUGUCCAAUGCACCACCCCAUAUUGUGCAACGCGCCUCCCUAAGUGGAAGGCUUUCAGUGGCUCCUUCUUCCAUGAUAUUCGGUGAGAAACUCAAAGUAGAUUCCUUGAUCCAUGGCGCACUGGCCUAUUUCUACAUAUUAAACUCUCUUUUUAAGUGUCGGAAUAUAUCCUAAAUGAUUUGGCCUAUUUCAAGGGACUCAAGACUUGACUUUUAACGCGUAAAAUUGUCUAUAAAAUACUAGGAUCAUGGAAUUUUUUUUUGGGCAUUACAUACCAAUAGGUGCGACACCACAAAACUUUAAAACUAUGCCAUAGUCAUAAUUUCUCAUAAAUAUUUCAACAAACUAACCAAGAAGUAGUAUAAUAUGAUGUAAUAAUAUAGUGAAAAUGAAUGCAGAAUACACAAUAUCACAAAUAAGGUUCAAUUAUAGUAAUUCAAUGAAAAGGCAAAUACUCAAAUACAAUGUCAAACCAAACUAAGGAAUACAAUGCAAUGCAAUACAAGUGAUGUAAUUCAAUAUAGAAAUGAUGGUGGGAUAUUUCAAACACAUCUUCCAAGCCUCAACGCUUUAGGACUGAUCCAUUGAGGUUCACAACCCAUAUGUUUUCACAAUCUCAAUUUCAUAUCCCAGUUACCAUGCCGACAAACCCCUCAAUUAAGAAUUUUGUAAAGUAUUUCAUUUUCUUUUAAAAUCAAUUAUUCUUAUAGGUCAAUCACUUUACCGGCACAUUCCUUGGUUAAGGUUUUUAUUAAGUGUUUCAUUUACUUUCAAAAUCAGUGAUUCUCAGUGGUACCAAAUCUCAUGAAUGUGUAUGGAUGAAAGCAAAGGAAAAAAAAAAAGAAUGACAAAUUUACCUCAGUCUCUCUCAUUUGGCAUCUGGUGGCAGAGGUCUCGGUGAAGGUCCUUCAUUGGCGGAGGAGGAGGAGGCGGAACAUUAGCUUUUGGUGCCAAAAUAUUGGUUAAUAAAGAUCACAAAAUGUUAUUGGCUGAACAACUUGUGCUUGACCUAAGAAAUAAUAACGACCCUUCCGAUUGUUUGUGAAUUUUUCUCAUCUUCCUUAUUUUAAUGUUCUCCGUAGUUUGUAUACAUGAUUUGUGACUUACGGUGGUGAGUAGUAUAGAUAUUUUUAGAUAUUCGAAAGUAAUUUAAGUCAUUAAUGGGGUUAUUGGGUUUGAUAAAGUUAAACCCGAUAAUAGUCAACCGUCAAUCAAGACGGCCUCGAAUUAGUGUCGUAGUAGUUCCAAUAGGCCCGGAAUGUAUUUUCUAGACAAUUUACAUAUUUAGUUUAUUUUGAUGGGGUUCCAAAUAAAUUUUGAGAAUAUAUUAAAAGUUUUAAUUAUUUUAAAUAAUUAAAUUAAUUAAGAAUAGUGGGUCAAAAGUACAAUUCUUUCUUCUCACAUAACCCACAUUAAGGUAGAGUAAUUGAAGUCAGUAGGUUAGUAGAAGUUCAACAAAAGGGCGGCUGACGAUUUGAACUUGGGGGAGACGAAAUUUACUGCUUCAGUUGCAGGGUGCAUUUGUAUUUUCUAAGAUUGAUUUGAAGUCUAGGUAUCAACGGCUUAAGAUUCGUCCUGGCGAUAUUCCUAAAACUGCUCUUCGACCCAGGGCGAUGGGGGUACACAUGGGCUCGGCUAGGUAUUUCAUUGCUCGUAAGUUGAGGACUAAGGAGAUUGCGUCUGUGAAGGUCCAUUGGAAGAAUAUGAGGCCACUUGGGAGACCAAAGCAGACAUGCGUAGCAAAUAUCCACAUCUUUUUGCUGAUUUAGAUUUGAAUCAUUCGGAAGCUUUAUGGAAGGGCAAGGUCCUUGCAAAUUAACUUGCAUUUGGAUUCUUCGGUUAAGUAAGUGUUAUAGAGGCUCAGACAUGACCUCAUUCCUAGAGUUUGAUACAGAUCUUGAUCCAAGGAAGAGGAAGCUUUUCCAAGAUUUGGCCCUUUUGAUGUGGAACUCAAUUGGUAUUAUCGCUGCACCCUUACAGCAAAGCUUUCAAGGGAACAUCUUAAUGAGCUUUUUAUUGGUGUUACUGAGGAAUUCAAAUGGUCCUAGGAUGACAAAAUAUUUUUGUGUAAUUUCUUGUUGGGGAGGGAGUGGGAACUAGUCCCACGUAGUAGUUUGUAUUCAGCUCAUAGCAAGGUUUAAUUUCCAAUAUUGGGACGUAGACAAUGUGUAACAUUUUAAUUGUAUAAGUUGGAUUUCUUUAUUAUUGGAUAGAACCAAAGUGGAAUAAAAUGAUUGGGGGUGAAA
Molecule: RNA transcript, 4936 nt
Organism: Capsicum annuum
Lineage: Eukaryota; Viridiplantae; Streptophyta; Magnoliopsida; Solanales; Solanaceae
Gene name: CCR4-NOT transcription complex subunit 9
Exons: 7
Source: RefSeq, a predicted model, not a curated record